Coffea arabica (coffee) is the source of this 1296-nucleotide non-coding RNA. Lineage: Eukaryota; Viridiplantae; Streptophyta; Magnoliopsida; Gentianales; Rubiaceae. The record is from RefSeq and is a predicted model, not a curated record.
GAAAUGCUAUGGGAUUGGCAAACUUUCCUUUUCUUGACGUCUUUUAAGUCAUGGGCAAUAAUUGCCAUCAGACAAGUUGAAAGUAUAUCUUCAGUCUGUUCAAAAUAAGACUGAAAAAAAAGAAGAAGCAAGGGCUGGAAUGGAUGAUGCAUGCAUUAAUUAUUCUUCCGGAAUUACAAGUGGAACGUUAAUAUCUUCUGUGCAAACUGCAGAUCGAGCAGUGUUUGGAAUACACGUAAGCCACCAUAUCUACAAGAAAUUAUUCAUUCAACUCACAAGUACAAUGUGAUAAGAAGAUGGGAAAUCCCGUGAUGACUUUAGCUCAGUUCCCAGGUUGCGGGAAUACGUGUAAAUCCUUCCAGUUCGGCAAUUGUUCAAUAAAGGUAAAGAAUCUUGUCCAACACUUGCUGUAUACUGAAAAAUUUUGCUGAGGGAAAUGCAAGAUGUGGUAUAAAAGAUGGAUUGUUCCAGGUACACAUGAUCAGCAUCUUUUGUGCUUGUUUAGGAAGGUUAGCACAUGCUGGUUGAACUUAUCAGGAAAUUGCUCUUGAACAAAGUGGCUUCCUUCUGGUAUGACAAUUACCUUCAGAUCAGGAACAUAUUCUUUGACCUUUCCACUAGUCAUAUAUUCUCCUAGACCUGUAAUUUUCAAGACACAGUCAUUUUCUCCCUUUAUAAGCAGGGAAGGAACAGUAAUUUUAGGAUUAUCAAACCGCUACAGGUUCUAACCAAGCCCUGCAGCAGACCAAUAAAUACAUACUUGUUGAAACAAAAACAUUGCAAAAAUUUCAGAAAGUCAUAUUUUCAGUAUUUGAUGAUUUUGAUUGUUAGAAAUUUAUUUCCUUUUUGCCUAUAUGCAUGGGACCUGCAGUGCAGUUCUAAAACCGGAUUUCUUAUAUAGGCUUUGCGUAUUUGUCGAGAUCUUCUUCACUAAACCUAGAAGGUAAUGGCACGGAUGGAUCAACUAAGUCCAAGAUUUCCUUGAUUUCAAUACUUGGUACCAUCUGAGGCUCAAGAGAAUCAAGAAUUGCCAGAAGAUCAUCCACAAGGUCCUUAAAAGUUGUCUUUUCUGGCUCUGCAGGGACUUCAGAAAGCCCAUAGCCUCUGAAAUCAGGUCCAAUUGCCCGAAACCCAGGCUUGGCAACUGCCAGCAUGCAACUUUUCCAGUUUUGAUUUCAGUCUCAACUGUUGAUGCUCAAUCCCAAGCUCAUGAAACACUACUAGUACUUUGAAUCCAUGUAUGCACUACGAUUUUACAUUAAUUAUUUUAGUUCUACGUACCGACCUUUCAAUCCA